This 897-nucleotide ribosomal RNA is filed under the name uncultured Gammaproteobacteria bacterium. RNAcentral's name for it is "bacterial SSU rRNA". It matches the Rfam family "Bacterial small subunit ribosomal RNA", at positions 94 to 987 of the family's 1533-position model. The record is from RNAcentral. Lineage: Bacteria; Pseudomonadati; Pseudomonadota; Gammaproteobacteria.
AGUGGCGGACGGGUGAGUAACGCGUAGGAAUCUGCCUCAUAGUGGGGGACAACGUGGGGAAACUCACGCUAAUACCGCAUACGCCCUACGGGGGAAAGCGGGGGAUCUUCGGACCUCGCGCUAUGAGAUGAGCCUGCGUUAGAUUAGCUAGUUGGUAGGGUAAAGGCCUACCAAGGCGACGAUCUAUAGCUGGUCUGAGAGGACGAUCAGCCACACUGGGACUGAGACACGGCCCAGACUCCUACGGGAGGCAGCAGUGGGGAAUAUUGGACAAUGGGCGAAAGCCUGAUCCAGCAAUACCGCGUGUGUGAAGAAGGCCUUAGGGUUGUAAAGCACUUUCAAUUGGGAGGAAAACCUACCGGUCAAUACCCGGUAGCUUGACAUUACCUUUAGAAGAAGCACCGGCUAACUCCGUGCCAGCAGCCGCGGUGAUACGGAGGGUGCGAGCGUUAAUCGGAAUUACUGGGCGUAAAGCGUGCGUAGGCGGUUCGUUAAGUCAGAUGUGAAAGCCCUGGGCUCAACCUGGGAACUGCAUUUGAAACUGGCGGACUAGAGUUUAGUAGAGGGGAGUGGAAUUUCAGGUGUAGCGGUGAAAUGCGUAGAUAUCUGAAGGAACACCAGUGGCGAAGGCGACUCCCUGGACUAGAACUGACGCUGAGGUACGAAAGCGUGGGUAGCAAACAGGAUUAGAUACCCUGGUAGUCCACGCCGUAAACGAUGUCGACUAGCCGUUGGUCCUAUUUACAGGAUUAGUGGCGCAGCUAACGCAUUAAGUCGACCGCCUGGGGAGUACGGCCGCAAGGUUAAAACUCAAAUGAAUUGACGGGGGCCCGCACAAGCGGUGGAGCAUGUGGUUUAUUUCGAUGCAACGCGAAGAACCUUACCUACCCUUGACAU